This 483-nucleotide ribosomal RNA is filed under the name uncultured bacterium. RNAcentral's name for it is "partial 16S ribosomal RNA". It matches the Rfam family "Bacterial small subunit ribosomal RNA", at positions 28 to 507 of the family's 1533-position model. The record is from RNAcentral.
GACGAACGCUGGCGGCGUGCUUAACACAUGCAAGUCGAACGCUGAAGCUCAGCUUUUGUUGGGUGGAUGAGUGGCGAACGGGUGAGUAACACGUGAGUAACCUGCCCCCUUCUUUGGGAUAACGCCCGGAAACGGGUGCUAAUACUGGAUAUUCACUGGUCUUCGCAUGGGGGUUGGUGGAAAGGGUUUUUCUGGUGGGGGAUGGGCUCGCGGCCUAUCAGCUUGUUGGUGGGGCGAUGGCCUACCAAGGCUUUGACGGGUAGCCGGCCUGAGAGGGUGACCGGUCACAUUGGGACUGAGAUACGGCCCAGACUCCUACGGGAGGCAGCAGUGGGGAAUAUUGCACAAUGGGCGCAAGCCUGAUGCAGCGACGCCGCGUGAGGGAUGGAGGCCUUCGGGUUGUGAACCUCUUUCGCUCAUGGUCAAGCCGCAACAAUGGUUGUGGUGAGGGUAGUGGGUAAAGAAGCGCCGGCUAACUACGUG